This 347-nucleotide long non-coding RNA is filed under the name Parus major (Great Tit). RNAcentral's name for it is "lncRNA (ENSPMJG00000013137.1)". The record is from RNAcentral. Lineage: Eukaryota; Metazoa; Chordata; Aves; Passeriformes; Paridae.
CUUUUAUUUCUCUUGCCACAACCCCUGGCUGAUCCGGUCCCGGAAUUGUGCAGACACCGGCACAACAAGGCACAGGCUGAGUCACAGAUUGCAAGGGAAGGUGAAACACGUACUGAUCCAGUGGAGAAACUGCAGUUCCUGGUGCAGAUGUGCACAUACUGCCUACUUUAUUCCUGGGUUUUCUUUUUCAGAGCGGAACAACACAUUUAAAAAAGAAACCUUUACCUUGUUGCUACGCAAACACGAAUUGGUGUUAUUAUAUCCCCAGAAAGCAGAACAACAAUAUUGCAAGAUCUCAGAUGGCACAUGUUGAUGUGACACCCACAGAGCCAGUUGAAAUAUGUCAC